RNAcentral lists this ribosomal RNA (503 nucleotides) under uncultured bacterium. RNAcentral describes it as "partial 16S ribosomal RNA". It matches the Rfam family "Bacterial small subunit ribosomal RNA", at positions 29 to 523 of the family's 1533-position model. The record is from RNAcentral.
AGCGAACGCUGGCGGCAGGCCUAACACAUGCAAGUCGAGCGGGGUGAUGGUGCUUGCACUAUCACUUAGCGGCGGACGGGUGAGUAAUGCUUAGGAAUCUGCCUAUUAGUGGGGGACAACAUCUCGAAAGGGAUGCUAAUACCGCAUACGUCCUACGGGAGAAAGCAGGGGAUCACUUGUGACCUUGCGCUAAUAGAUGAGCCUAAGUCGGAUUAGCUAGUUGGUGGGGUAAAGGCCUACCAAGGCGACGAUCUGUAGCGGGUCUGAGAGGAUGAUCCGCCACACUGGGACUGAGACACGGCCCAGACUCCUACGGGAGGCAGCAGUGGGGAAUAUUGGACAAUGGGGGGAACCCUGAUCCAGCCAUGCCGCGUGUGUGAAGAAGGCCUUAUGGUUGUAAAGCACUUUAAGCGAGGAGGAGGCUCUUUUGGUUAAUACCCAAGAUGAGUGGACGUUACUUGCAGAAUAAGCACCGGCUAACUCUGUGCCAGCCGCCGCAGUAA